Molecule: small RNA, 113 nt
Filed under: Aquimarina sp. MAR_2010_214
Lineage: Bacteria; Pseudomonadati; Bacteroidota; Flavobacteriia; Flavobacteriales; Flavobacteriaceae
Description: Flavo-1 RNA
Rfam family: Flavo-1 RNA
Source: RNAcentral
GAUUAGCGUGAAGGAUAGUAGCGGCAUCCUUUUUUCUAUUUGCUUCCCUCUUUUUGCCUUAGCAACAUGCAUAAAGAAUCAGAAAAAAGAUAUAGCGAAUAGCCUGACCCAUA